CCUACGGGAGACAGCAGUCGAGAAUCAUUCACAAUGGGGGAAACCCUGAUGGUGCGACGCCGCGUGGGGGAAUGAAGGUCUUCGGAUUGUAAACCCCUGUCAUGUGGGAGCAAAUUAAAAAGAUAGUACCACAAGAGGAAGAGACGGCUAACUCUGUGCCAGCAGCCGCGGUAAUACAGAGGUCUCAAGCGUUGUUCGGAAUCACUGGGCGUAAAGCGUGCGUAGGCUGUUUCGUAAGUCGUGUGUGAAAGGCGCGGGCUCAACCCGCGGACGGCACAUGAUACUGCGAGACUAGAGUAAUGGAGGGGGAACCGGAAUUCUCGGUGUAGCAGUGAAAUGCGUAGAUAUCGAGAGGAACACUCGUGGCGAAGGCGGGUUACUGGACAUUAACUGACGCUGAGGCACGAAGGCCAGGGGAGCGAAAGGGAUUAGAUACCCCAGUAGUC
This 446-nucleotide ribosomal RNA is filed under the name uncultured bacterium. Its description in RNAcentral is "partial 16S ribosomal RNA". It matches the Rfam family "Bacterial small subunit ribosomal RNA", at positions 338 to 795 of the family's 1533-position model. The record is from RNAcentral.